UACAGAGGGUGCAAGCGUUGUUCGGAAUUACUGGGCGUAAAGGGCGCGUAGGCGGCCACUGCAAGUCAGUUGUGAAAUCUCCGGGCUUAACCCGGAAAGGUCAACUGAUACUGCAGGGCUAGAGUGCAGAAGGGGCAACUGGAAUUCUCGGUGUAGCGGUGAAAUGCGUAGAUAUCGAGAGGAACACCUGCGGCGAAGGCGGGUUGCUGGGCUGACACUGACGCUGAUGUGCGAAAGCUAGGGGAGCGAACGGG
This 254-nucleotide ribosomal RNA is filed under the name uncultured bacterium. RNAcentral describes it as "partial 16S ribosomal RNA". It matches the Rfam family "Bacterial small subunit ribosomal RNA", at positions 524 to 776 of the family's 1533-position model. The record is from RNAcentral.